RNAcentral lists this ribosomal RNA (253 nucleotides) under uncultured bacterium. Its description in RNAcentral is "partial 16S ribosomal RNA". It matches the Rfam family "Bacterial small subunit ribosomal RNA", at positions 524 to 776 of the family's 1533-position model. The record is from RNAcentral.
AACGUAGGAGACAAACGUUAUCCGGAGUUACUGGGCGUAAAGGGCGUGUAGGUGGUUGCGUAAGUCUGGCGUGAAAUUUUUCGGCUUAACCGGGAAAGGUCGUCGGAUACUGCGUAACUAGAGGACGGUAGAGGCGUGUGGAAUUCCGGGUGUAGUGGUGAAAUGCGUAGAGAUCUGGAGGAAUACCGAUGGCGAAGGCAGCCAUCUGGCCUAACACUGACGCUGAGGUGCGAAAGCAUGGGGAGCAAACAGG